This 103-nucleotide microRNA precursor is filed under the name Marmota monax (woodchuck). Lineage: Eukaryota; Metazoa; Chordata; Mammalia; Rodentia; Sciuridae. The record is from RNAcentral.
AGAGAGAUAGCUGGGUUAAAUGGUGGUUCCAUUCCCAGAUUUCCAAGGAAUCUCCAUACUGCUUUCCAUAUUGGCUGCACCAAUUUGCAGUCCCACCAGCAAU